UGAUAUAGCCAUGAGAACAGCAACCUUGUAAACUGGUCAGGAUAGAAAUAUAGCAGCCAUGUCGAGAAGUACCGUGUCUUGUGGUUUUUUAAUUUUU
Molecule: non-coding RNA, 97 nt
Filed under: Metamycoplasma canadense
Lineage: Bacteria; Bacillati; Mycoplasmatota; Mycoplasmoidales; Metamycoplasmataceae
Source: Rfam by way of RNAcentral